Molecule: long non-coding RNA, 702 nt
Organism: Frankliniella occidentalis (western flower thrips)
Lineage: Eukaryota; Metazoa; Arthropoda; Insecta; Thysanoptera; Thripidae
Exons: 2
Source: RefSeq, a predicted model, not a curated record
GUUGCGGGCUGGGGCAAGACGGAGACGGACGAGCCCAGCAAAAGGCUCCAGUAUGCGACCAUGCCGUUCGUUCCGUACGAAACUUGCGUCGCCAGGAUUCCGGACAACAUUAUCCGAUACGUUUCACCCGACAAGUUUUGUGCUGGAAACAUUAACGGUUCGACGGUUUGGCCGGGCGACAGCGGCGGCGGGCUCUCCUUCCAAAGGGGCGGCCGGUGGUUCCUGCGCGGGGUGGUGAGCACGGGGGUCCCCAGUCGACUCACGUACAGCGCCUUUACGGACGUCCAACACCGCGACCACUUGGAGUUGCUCAAGUCAUUCAUGAAUGCUCGACAAUGAAAGCACCCACGGAAAAAAAAUCUGCGACGACGACUUGUCUUAUUUAUCAAGUGUUAACUCCGGUCACUCCGGUUAACUUGGCUGUUCCUGCUGUGUGUGCGUUGUGCGCGUGUGUAUGUAUGUAUGAAUGGUAGUGUAGGUCUAUGAGCUUGUGUGUGAGCGCGCGUGCGUGAGCGAGUGUGUGUGUGUGUGUGUGUGUAUAGGUGCGCGUGUGUGUUAAUUUGGAUGUGUGACGUCUAUGUAGCGUACAUUCGAGAUGUUCAUGUGCCAAACAAACAUAUUUCUAGGUUGGGUGUGUUCCCAUAGUGACUGAUACCCAUUGACGUUUUUGUACAUAUGUAAUAAGAAUCAUUUUUAUACGUU